CUCAAUGGUGGCUGUGCGCAGGGCGCCUUCGGGUGCGCCGGUCUCUUGGAUCCCCGGUCUACUAACCUGCGUACAGCUGCCACCCAC
This 87-nucleotide non-coding RNA is filed under the name Pseudomonas sp. NFACC16-2. Lineage: Bacteria; Pseudomonadati; Pseudomonadota; Gammaproteobacteria; Pseudomonadales; Pseudomonadaceae. The record is from RNAcentral. RNAcentral also lists the same sequence under 2 other names.